This is a long non-coding RNA of Cebus imitator (Panamanian white-faced capuchin), 349 nucleotides long. RefSeq lists it as uncharacterized. The record is from RefSeq and is a predicted model, not a curated record. The transcript has 3 exons. Lineage: Eukaryota; Metazoa; Chordata; Mammalia; Primates; Cebidae.
UCCAGUUCUGGUGUGGGCUUUGCCUCCCAGGCAGCCCUGUUGCUGAGGUGUGCAGCUGCUCCAGGCAAGGUAGCCUCACAGAGGACGGUUCCCAGGUACAAAAGAAUCCCAGCACUUUUUUGCCUUAGAAAGAGCCAGAACAUAUGGUUGGUCUGGAAGCCCAGAAUCUAGGACACUGGAAAAGAGGGAUGGAUACACUCAUCACGGCUUGAAAGACAGACCUUGCAAGAUGUCUGGGAACCACCACCAUCACGUCUGGAAAAAAGUGACUUCACACUACAGCGGAGGAAAACCAUGGGUUGGCCAAAAACGGAACAGAAUUUAUAAGGGAAAAGGAAGGUUCUGGAGU